RNAcentral lists this ribosomal RNA (253 nucleotides) under uncultured bacterium. RNAcentral's name for it is "partial 16S ribosomal RNA". It matches the Rfam family "Bacterial small subunit ribosomal RNA", at positions 524 to 776 of the family's 1533-position model. The record is from RNAcentral.
UACGUAGGGUGCAAGCGUUGUCCGGAAUUAUUGGGCGUAAAGAGCUCGUAGGCGGUCUGUCACGUCUGCUGUGAAAACUCGGGGCUUAACUCCGGGUCUGCAUUCGAUACGGGCAGGCUAGAGUUCGGUAGGGGAGAUCGGAAUUCCUGGUGUAGCGGUGAAAUGCGCAGAUAUCAGGAGGAACACCGGUGGCGAAGGCGGAUCUCUGGGCCGAUACUGACGCUGAGGAGCGAAAGCGUGGGGAGCGAACAGG